Molecule: ribosomal RNA, 274 nt
Filed under: uncultured bacterium
Lineage: Bacteria
Description: partial 16S ribosomal RNA
Rfam family: Bacterial small subunit ribosomal RNA
Source: RNAcentral
AUACGGAGGGUGCGAGCGUUAAUCGGAAUUACUGGGCGUAAAGCGCGCGUAGGCGGUUGGGUAAGUCGGAUGUGAAAGCCCCGGGCUUAACCUGGGAAUUGCAUUCGAUACUGCCCGGCUAGAGUAUGGUAGAGGGAAGCGGAAUUCCGGGUGUAGCGGUGAAAUGCGUAGAUAUCCGGAGGAACACCAGUGGCGAAGGCGGCUUCCUGGACCAAUACUGACGCUGAGGUGCGAAAGCGUGGGGAGCAAACAGGAUUAGAUACCCUAGUAGUCC